Molecule: long non-coding RNA, 389 nt
Organism: Dinoponera quadriceps
Lineage: Eukaryota; Metazoa; Arthropoda; Insecta; Hymenoptera; Formicidae
Exons: 3
Source: RefSeq, a predicted model, not a curated record
CAUUGAAGGUUGCUGCGCGUUACUCUUGGCUUCUCUAAAUUGUUUAGAAUGAAUGUAAAAAUAAUUACGAUAUUUCGCACGUACGGUCAUUGUUUGCAAUGAGCAUCCUGAAAUUCAAAAGAUUUGAUGGAGUUUGUGGCCGCAUUUUGAAGCUAGCUGCAGUUCCAGUGGUUACGGAGGAAUACGGUACCGGAGAAUCCGGUUCGGGCUAAGCGGAGUCGGCUCGAAGCUUUUUGUUACAUAACUGAAUGCAGAAGCCGACUUCGACUUCGGUAUCGGUGAGUGAGAGAAAAGAGGUUUGAAAACUAUAAAAAGGUGAUGGGAUUUAAGGUGGCAGGCGUUUAUCAGAUUUGUUGAGAUUGAUGCGAUUUUUUAUGCGAUAUAUAGAU